AUAGGAAAAAUCUGAGCAAAAACAAUGCAGGGCUUCAGAUCGAGAGUUUUCGAAAUAGAAACCCUAGGGUUUGAAAACAAAACCAAAAAAAUCAAGAAAAAAGGCUCACGGAGAGAAUCAAGGAGCUGAAGUACUUGAUUGGAGAUGGAGAUUUAUAAGGUCGGGAUGAGAUGAAAUGCGUCAUAUACGAUCGUAUGUAUGGAUUGGGAUACGGCCCUGGGAAGGUUUUUGAAGAUGAACCUCUCUCUCUUUGUAAGAUAUAUUCAAUUUCAAGCGAGAAAUUGGAUUUUCUUCAUCUCUGAAACUCGCACUCUCAAAGCUUCCUGCAAAUGAUACACGCAUCAUCAAGCCACAUCUAGUUUUUUCCUCUGUCGAAAUCCAAUCAUGGAAUUGCUCCCAAACGACCUGUCUUCUAAUUACCGUUUUCUUCUUCUGAGAGCUAGAGAUAGAGAGAGAUUGAAUUAGGGUUUUUGAGAUGGGUUCAAAAGAUCAAAAGCAAGGCGGUGGAUUCUUCUCCUCGAUCGCAUCCAGCAUCUCGAAUUUCGGCACUGCCAUGCACAAAUCCGUCAACGGCAAUUGGUAAAAGAUAGUGAUGAGAAGUUAUGUGAUUGAGUUUUUUUACUUCUUCAGGGAAGUUUAUGGCAAAUACUGCGAGGAGAGACUGAAGAGGCAAUUCGUGGCACACCUACUGCCAUGACACAUGUGUGAGAUCUGGGCUACCUACCCAUCAAGUGAUGGCCAUUGCAAGCAUGCCCUCUCUCAAAAUCAGGCUAGUCCACUCAUUAGGUGGGCAACUGAUUAGCGGUCUAUAUUCAAGGUACACAUGGUGAACCUGAUGAGUGUACCAUCUUGAUUUUUUGCCUGGACAUGUUCACAGUAGCUACCGAGUUUCCCGGAUGCCACACGUGCUA
Long non-coding RNA from Magnolia sinica, 911 nucleotides. RefSeq lists it as uncharacterized. The record is from RefSeq and is a predicted model, not a curated record. Lineage: Eukaryota; Viridiplantae; Streptophyta; Magnoliopsida; Magnoliales; Magnoliaceae. The transcript has 3 exons.